Molecule: non-coding RNA, 28 nt
Filed under: Mus musculus (house mouse)
Lineage: Eukaryota; Metazoa; Chordata; Mammalia; Rodentia; Muridae
Source: RNAcentral
UGCUGCCCCGCUAGAAUUAAAGCGAUUU